AGUGAACGCUGGCGGUAGGCCUAACACAUGCAAGUCGAACGGCAGCACAGUAAGAGCUUGCGCUUACGGGUGGCGAGUGGCGGACGGGGGCGGAAGACAUCGGAAUCUACUUUUUCGUGGGGGAUAACGUAGGGAAACUUACGCGAACACCGCAUACGACCUACGGGUGAAAGCAGGGGAUCUUCGGACCUUUCGCGAGGGAAUGAGCCGAUGUCGGAUUCGCUAGUUGGCGGGGUAAAGGCCCAGCAAGGCGACGAUCCGUAGCGGGUCUGAGAGGGUGAUCAGCUACCCUGGCACUGAGACACGGCCCACACUCCUGCGGGAGGCCGCAGUGGGGACUCUUGCGCAAUGCGGGCAAGCCUGAUCCAGGACUACCGCCUGAGUGAUGAAGGCCUUCGGGUUGUAAAGCCCUUUUGUUGGUAAAGAAGAACAGCAGGUUAAUACCCCGCGGUACUGACGGUACCCAGAGAAUAAGCACCGGCUAACUUCGUG
Molecule: ribosomal RNA, 492 nt
Filed under: uncultured bacterium
Lineage: Bacteria
Description: partial 16S ribosomal RNA
Rfam family: Bacterial small subunit ribosomal RNA
Source: RNAcentral